Molecule: long non-coding RNA, 2714 nt
Filed under: Sus scrofa (pig)
Lineage: Eukaryota; Metazoa; Chordata; Mammalia; Artiodactyla; Suidae
Description: lncRNA (ENSSSCG00015027038.1)
Source: RNAcentral
GGAGGUGAGCCUUGGAGAAGCCUUGCUAGGCUUCCCGCCAUCCUACAGUUUCAGGAACCCAUUCUUAUUAUGUCUCCACCUGUGUCAGGCCUUGCCUGAGCCUGUCCCAUCCGUCUGUCCAUCUCCAUACCCAUUCGGAAAGCUCAAGCCGAGGGCUUUCUCACAGGCAGACAAACUGCUAUCUGAUGCCAAAGCCCAUCGUUGCUCUGUUACCCAAUGCCCCACUGGACUUUUAGAACCAGCUCCCAAGACCCUGUCCCCCAGGACAUUGGACACUGGCUUUGUCUCUCCUCUCUGGCCACUGCUGUCAGUCCUAGUCUGUUUUUCUCCUUUGGCUUCUGGUUUGUGCUGCCUGAUGGGCUGGUUAUUUUGACACCCAGGCUCUGGCUGUCUCAAUCCUAGGGUGGUUACAGCCCUUUCCCCUUUGAUCUCCUGGCCCUUGCACACAAUUAAUGACCAGAUCAAUGAUGGUGAUAAUAGUGAACGUGUAUCGGGUGCCCAGCACAGACUGACACUGUGCUUAGGACUUUGUGAGGAUCCCAGUUCACUGUUCACAGCCACCCUAAGUGUUUUUAACCAUCAUCUCCAUUUUUCAGAGGAAGAAACUGAGCCUUGGAGAAUUGGGUCAUUGGUCUAAGGUGACCCAAUAGCCUCUGAGUGCUGAAGGCAGGAUUUGAACUCUGGAGCCAGGGCUCCUCCUACCUGACCAGAUGGAUGAGCCAGGAGGCUCCAGGCUAGCAGAUACCACAUAUAGAGGAACAGCCACAUGGUGGCAAUGACACCAUCCCAGGUUGCUUUAAUUCAGCCCAGCAUGGAAACCUAUGGGACCCCAGGCCUGGUCUUCUGCUCCUUCCCUGCUCCCUUGCUGCCAGCUGUGGUCACAGGCCAACCCAGGUUCCAGCAAGGAAACAGCCUCGUCCUGGUUUGCAGCAUUGGCAAUUGCUCUGGGCAAGCUGCAAGCAAACAGCUGUGACUCCAGUCCCUGAGGUUCCCCUACCCCCAUUACCUGUGUCAACACUUUUAUUUUUAAAUCGGCGGAGCCAGGGUGGGGGCUGAGGGUGGGCGAUGGGGAGGGAGGGAACUGGGCCCUUAUCAGCGCUGGGGUCCUUGCAUAUGUAACACCGUCAUAUAAUUAACAGUGAAGAUCAUUUACAUUGUCGCUUAGCUAAUUUUCAUAAUGUUUUCUUUAUUAUCAGAGGAAGAAAUUAACCCAAGAAUUUAUUUACAUAGCAGCCUCAAACAGUAACAGCUUGCUAAUUGCCUGUUAGGUGAUUAAUAAGCUUACAGCAGAUGCUAAUGCGUCGUGGGCUCCCCGUUUCAAAGGUGCUCUUGCCGCACGCUUGUGUUUUUGGCAGCUUAAUUAGUGCAAUAAUUAUGUACUUGUUGCUCCUUCUUUCGAGCAAAUACUGUCAAAUGCUUAAAAGAUUAAAGUGAAUUAUAUCCUGAGAACUCACAGUGCGUGAGGAUGCCCGUUCUCGCUAACUUCUCUGUUGGCUCAAAAAUAGAAGAGAAUAGAUGAGAGGGGGCUCUGACUUGUCAGUGGGGAGCCAUGUAAAGCUGAGUGGGCUGAGUUCUAGUCGUGGUGUUGCCCCUUGAACCCUGCCUCCGUUUCCCCUCUAUGAAAGGAAGGAUGAAUCAUUGGCAUGGGAAGCGGGGAGGGGACAUAGCAUCAGAUAGACCCAAGCCUAGAGAACAACUAAAUGCAUUAAGUAGAUCUUACUUGGGCCCUGACUGGAACAAACCAGUUGUGAAACGACAUCUUUAAGCUGGUCAGAGAAAUUUGACCCCAGACAGUGCAAUAGAUGAUCUCCAGAGGUCAUUGUAGAUUUUGUUAGGUGGGAUAAGGGCACAAUGGCUAUGCAAAGGAAAAAUAUUGUUUUUAAAAAUUAUAGUUGAUUUACAAUGCUGUGCCAAUUUCUGCUGUACAGUAAAGUGACAAAACUGGAUAUAUAUAUAUACACACAUCUCACACACACACACACACGCACAUAACUGGAGAUACAUAUAUACAUUCCCUAUAUAUUAUUAUCUUCCAUCAUGGUCUACCCCAAGAGAUGGAAUAUAGUUUCCUGUGCUGUACAGUAGGGCCUUGUUGUCUAUCCAUUCUAAAUGUAAUAGUUUCUAUCUACUAACCUCAAGCUCCCAGUCUAUCCUACUCCCUCCCCCGCCACUACCUUGGCAACCACAAGUCUGUUCUCUGUGAGUCUGUUUCUGUUUUGUAGACAGGUUCGUUUGUGCCACAUUUUAGAUUCCAUAUAUAAGUGAUAUCAUAUGGUAUUUGUCUUUCUCUUUCUGACUUAGUUCACUUAGUAUGAGAAUCUCUAGUUGCAUCCAUGUUGCUGCAAGGAAAAAUAUUCUUGUCUGUUAGAUUUUCAUACUUGAGUGUUUAGCAUUGAAAUGGUAUGAGGUCUGCAAUUUAUUUUGAAAUAUUCCAGGCCCCUCCUCAAAAAUGUAGGUCUAGGAGUUCCCAUCCUGGCUCAGCAGAAAUGAAUCCAGCUAGCAUCCAUGAGGAUGCAGGUUUGAUCCCUGGCCUCGCUCAGUGGGUUAAGAAUUCGGCAUUGCCAUGAGCUGUGGUAUAGGUCGCAGGCACAACUUGGAUCUGGUGUUGCUGUGGCUGUGGUUUAGGCCAGUGGCUACGGCUCUGAUUUGACCCCUAGCCUGGGAACCUCCAUAUCCCGUGGGUGCAGCCCUAAAAAGACAAAAAAAAAAAAAAA